This 458-nucleotide ribosomal RNA is filed under the name Streptococcus sp. oral taxon C65. RNAcentral's name for it is "bacterial SSU rRNA". It matches the Rfam family "Bacterial small subunit ribosomal RNA", at positions 28 to 470 of the family's 1533-position model. Lineage: Bacteria; Bacillati; Bacillota; Bacilli; Lactobacillales; Streptococcaceae. The record is from RNAcentral.
GACGAACGCUGGCGGCGUGCCUAAUACAUGCAAGUAGAACGCUGAAGAGAGGAGCUUGCUCUUCUUGGAUGAGUUGCGAACGGGUGAGUAACGCGUAGGUAACCUGCCUUGUAGCGGGGGAUAACUAUUGGAAACGAUAGCUAAUACCGCAUAACAAUGGAUGACACAUGUCAUUUAUUUGAAAGGGGCAAUUGCUCCACUACAAGAUGGACCUGCGUUGUAUUAGCUAGUAGGUGAGGUAACGGCUCACCUAGGCGACGAUACAUAGCCGACCUGAGAGGGUGAUCGGCCACACUGGGACUGAGACACGGCCCAGACUCCUACGGGAGGCAGCAGUAGGGAAUCUUCGGCAAUGGGGGCAACCCUGACCGAGCAACGCCGCGUGAGUGAAGAAGGUUUUCGGAUCGUAAAGCUCUGUUGUAAGCCAAGAACGAGUGUGAGAGUGGAAAGUUCACACU